Molecule: ribosomal RNA, 736 nt
Filed under: uncultured bacterium
Lineage: Bacteria
Description: bacterial SSU rRNA
Rfam family: Bacterial small subunit ribosomal RNA
Source: RNAcentral
CCCUUAGAGUUUGAUCCUGGCUCAGGACGAACGCUGGCGGCGUGCCUAACACAUGCAAGUCGAACGAGGCCACUCCUUCGGGAGUGAGUCGAGUGGCGGACGGGUGAGUAACACGUGAGCAACCUAUCCUUGUGCGGGGGACAACCGGGGGAAACCUCGGCUAAUACCGCAUGGGCAGGCACCUCGAGUGGGGAGCCUGGGAAAGAUGGCCUCUUUACAAUGCUGUCGCGCAGGGAGGGGCUCGCGGGCUAUCAGCUAGUUGGUGAGGUAAUGGCUCACCAAGGCAGCGACGGCUACGGGGUCUGAGAGGACGACCCCGCACAUUGGAACUGAGACACGGUCCAGACUCCUACGGGAGGCAGCAGUGGGGAAUAUUGGGCAAUGGGCGCAAGCCUGACCCAGCGACGCCGCGUGCGGGAUGACGCUUCUCGGAGUGUAAACCGCUGUCAGAGGGGACGAACGGCCGGAGUGGGAAUACUGCUCCGGAUUGACGGUACCCUCAAAGGAAGCGCCGGCUAACUCCGUGCCAGCAGCCGCGGUAAUACGGAGGGCGCAAGCGUUGUUCGGAAUCACUGGGCGUAAAGCGCGCGCAGGCGGGUGUGCAGGUCGGAAGUGAAAUCCCGGGGCUCAACUCCGGGGCUGCUGCCGAUACUGCAUGUCUAGAGCCAGUAGGGGUUGGUGGAAUUCCCGGUGUAGCGGUGGAAUGCGUAGAUAUCGGGAAGAACACCUGUGGCGA